This 253-nucleotide ribosomal RNA is filed under the name uncultured bacterium. Its description in RNAcentral is "partial 16S ribosomal RNA". It matches the Rfam family "Bacterial small subunit ribosomal RNA", at positions 524 to 776 of the family's 1533-position model. The record is from RNAcentral.
UACGUAGGGUGCUAGCGUUGUCCGGAUUUAUUGGGCGUAAAGAGCGUGUAGGCGGCCAGAUAGGUCUGCUGUGAAAACUCGAGGCUCAACCUCGAGCUGUCGGCGGAAACCAUUUGGCUAGAGUCCGGAAGAGGAAAGUGGAAUUCCUGGUGUAGCGGUGAAAUGCGCAGAUAUCAGGAAGAACACCCGUGGCGAAGGCGGCUUUCUGGGACGGUACUGACGCUGAGACGCGAAAGCGUGGGGAGCGAACAGG